CCUACGGGAGGCAGCAGUGGGGAAUUUUGGACAAUGGGCGCAAGCCUGAUCCAGCUAUUCCGCGUGUGGGAUGACGGCCCUCGGGUUGUAAACCACUUUAGUAGAGAACGAAAAGGAGCAAUCGAAUAAAUAUCCCUGCUGACGGUACCUUAAGAGUAAGCACUGGCUAACUACGUGCCAGCAGCCGCGGUAAUACGUAGGGUGCGAGCGUUAACCGGAAUUAAUGGGCGUAAAGGGUGUGUAGGCGGCUGAGUAAGACAGAUGUGAAAUCCCCGGGCUUAACCUGGGAACCGCUUAUGUGACUGGUAAGCUAGAGUGAGUCAGAGGUAAGUGGAAUUCCACGUGUAGCAGUGAAAUGCGUAGAUAUGUGGAAGAACACCGAUGGCGAAGGCAGCCUCCUGGGUCGCAACUGACGCUCAUAGACGAAAGCGUGGGGAGCAAACAGGAUUAGAUACCCGUGUAGUC
This 465-nucleotide ribosomal RNA is filed under the name uncultured bacterium. Its description in RNAcentral is "partial 16S ribosomal RNA". It matches the Rfam family "Bacterial small subunit ribosomal RNA", at positions 338 to 795 of the family's 1533-position model. The record is from RNAcentral.